GGACGUGAGGGCGACUUGGCUGCGACCCUGUCACCCCACUGAUGGUCAGGGUGGAUUCAGCUGAGCUGGCGGCCAGGUGGGCGUCCCCAUCCUCCCCCACGGCCCCAGGUGUGUCCCUGCUGAAGUCGCAUGCUCGGUCGAAGAGGACGACCUUUCCCAAUAGAGGAGCACCGUUCUUCCGUCCAGGGUGUGUGAGUAGCUGCACCCCCGACAGAGCCUCCAGACUAGCUCUCAAGGUCAGGUAUAACAUCCUGCUUUAUUAAAGCACACGCGGCCUUCCUGAUCCUUGAGUGCAGCCUUUUGACUGGAUCCAAAUUUUACAGAACAAAUCAUUUUAA
RNAcentral lists this small nuclear RNA (338 nucleotides) under Prolemur simus (greater bamboo lemur). Its description in RNAcentral is "7SK RNA (ENSPSMG00000007689.1)". The stretch from base 1 to 304 matches the Rfam family "7SK RNA". Rfam says of the family: 7SK was discovered as an abundant small nuclear RNA in the mid-70s but a possible function has only recently been suggested. Two independent studies have found that 7SK RNA binds the CDK9/cyclin T complex (known as elongation factor P-TEFb). P-TEFb activates transcription by phosphorylating the C-terminal domain of RNA polymerase II. Lineage: Eukaryota; Metazoa; Chordata; Mammalia; Primates; Lemuridae. The record is from RNAcentral.